Molecule: ribosomal RNA, 253 nt
Filed under: uncultured bacterium
Lineage: Bacteria
Description: partial 16S ribosomal RNA
Rfam family: Bacterial small subunit ribosomal RNA
Source: RNAcentral
UACGUAGGGCGCAAGCGUUAUCCGGAAUUAUUGGGCGUAAAGAGCUCGUAGGCGGUUUGUCGCGUCUGCCGUGAAAGUCCGGGGCUCAACUCCGGAUCUGCGGUGGGUACGGGCAGACUAGAGUGAUGUAGGGGAGACUGGAAUUCCUGGUGUAGCGGUGAAAUGCGCAGAUAUCAGGAGGAACACCGAUGGCGAAGGCAGGUCUCAGGGCAUUAACUGACGCUGAGGAGCGAAAGCAUGGGGAGCGAACAGG